UUCUGUUAGCUGUUGGAUACGAGAGAAUUAAUUGAUCAAUUGCUUGACAAGCUGCCGCACAGACUGGUAAAUUAAAACUAUGCCCUGUUUGGUGCCAGGCCAGGACGGGAUUUGCUGUACUAGGAGUAGCUUAGGCCGAUCCUUUUAGAACAGUUCCUGAGAUUGAUUUUUAACCCACAGGUUUUGGAGAUCCGGGUACCAGAGGUAGUUCUUCGGUUGAACAUAAAUUCUAAGGCAAGUGCAUUACGAACCUUGUCGCCUUAAUGUUUGAUUGUGUGGCUUGUGUGUUUUUGGUGUGCUUCGUUGUUAUUUGGUAAUUUGAUCCAGUUGUUUCCUUUUAAAGUUGUUGGGCCGCGGGUUGGUAAAUUCCGAACCAAUACUGCCGCAGGUUGGUAAACUCCGAGCCAACGCGCUGGUACUAAGUAAACACCAUGCAUGGGGCCCGGGCGUAGCACACCUAUACUGUUGAGCACAUCACAAUUAUUUAGAUAUUACGAUGUAGACAUAUAUGUUUCUAUACUAUUAGUCGUAUUGUAUUAGUCACUUAAUCCAUGUUACCCUGUGAACAAAUAUAUUUGGAGUCUACCGAUAUGCUGGGAUUUUGUGAAUCACCGUGGUUGUUUUCUUUAAAGUUGAAAUGUCACUACAUAUCCUCU
This is a long non-coding RNA of Lolium rigidum, 656 nucleotides long. RefSeq lists it as uncharacterized. NCBI's taxonomy places the organism in Eukaryota, Viridiplantae, Streptophyta, Magnoliopsida, Poales, Poaceae. The record is from RefSeq and is a predicted model, not a curated record. The transcript is spliced from 2 exons.